This 911-nucleotide ribosomal RNA is filed under the name uncultured bacterium. Its description in RNAcentral is "bacterial SSU rRNA". It matches the Rfam family "Bacterial small subunit ribosomal RNA", at positions 8 to 916 of the family's 1533-position model. The record is from RNAcentral.
AGAGUUUGAUCAUGGCUCAGAACGAACGCUGGCGGCGUGCCUAAUACAUGCAAGUCGAACGUGAUUCCCGACUUCGGUUGGGAUGAAAGUGGCGAACGGGUGAGUAACACGUAAGUAAUCUGCCUUCAAGUUUGGGAUAACCCUGCCAACGCGGGGCUAAUACCGGAUGUGGUCCAGCAGACCCAUGUUUGCGGGAUUAAAGGUCGCGAGACCGCUUGGAGAUGAGCUUGCGGCCCAUUAGCUAGUUGGUGAGGUAACGGCCCACCAAGGCAGGGAUGGGUAGCCGGCCUGAGAGGGUGUACGGCCACAUUGGGACUGAGAUACGGCCCAGACUCCUACGGGAGGCAGCAGUAGGGAAUUUUGCGCAAUGGACGGAAGUCUGACGCAGCAACGCCCCGUGAAGGAUGAAGGCCUUCGGGUUGUAAACUUCUGUUGGAUGGGAAAAAAAGCCUUUUAAGAAGAAUUGAUGGUACCAUUCGAGUAAGCACCGGCUAACUACGUGCCAGCAGCCGCGGUAAUACGUAGGGUGCGAGCGUUGUUCGGAAUCACUGGGCGUAAAGGGAGCGUAGGCGGAACUGUAAGUUAGAAGUUUAAUACAUGGGCUCAACCCGUGGUCUGCUUUUAAUACUGCGGUUCUUGAGUAUGGGAGAGGGCGAUGGAAUUCCAGGUGUAGCGGUGGAAUGCGUAGAUAUCUGGAAGAACACCAGUAGCGAAGGCGGUCGCCUGGCCCAAUACUGACGCUGAGGCUCGAAAGCUGGGGGAGCAAACAGGAUUAGAUACCCUGGUAGUCCCAGCCGUAAACGAUGGACACUAGUUGCCGGGAGAGUCAAUCCUUCGGUGACGAAGCUAACGCAUUAAGUGUCCCGCCUGGGGAGUACGCCCGCAAGGGUGAAACUCAAAUGAAUUGACGG